Molecule: long non-coding RNA, 1385 nt
Filed under: Mytilus galloprovincialis (Mediterranean mussel)
Lineage: Eukaryota; Metazoa; Mollusca; Bivalvia; Mytilida; Mytilidae
Source: RNAcentral
CCCAUAUUAAGCCAUAGUAUUUUGUUAAACAGGCUCCUGGUCUGUCAUUCUUUAACACCUAUGUAUGUUUUCUAAUGCAAUACAUAGCUUGAAACUUUAAAAAAAACGUUAGUGGAUUUAAGAAGUUUCAGAAUAUGUUCUUGUAGAUGUAUUUUUGUAUUUAAAGGGUCAACCGUUUGACUAUCAAAUAACAUAGAAGUCCGAGUGAAAAAAAGUACAUUUUUAUAACUGCGAUUCCGUUUUCCGCCGUUCGUACGAUGUUUCAACAAAAUAUGGAUUCAUUUCAGUUGUUGAUUUAGUAUUGAAAAUUUAACUGAAUUAUCUCCUAUUAAAUACGGUUUUAUAUGUUUAAUUUGUGUUUCUUUAAGAGGUCAGGUGCUCUUGUUCAUUCAUAAAAUUAUCGUUCAUUCAUACAUUUAUCGUAAAAUCAAAAUCACUACACAGGUUAAUGCGUAGUGUCAAAUGAUUACCUGUAAUCUAAAAAUAGACAAACUUUGUUUGCGCAAAUAAUUUAGCGGAACGAAACCCUUGUUGAAAACACAUAACAAUAAGUUCGUUUUCCUUUUCUGUCAAAACUCCGUAAUAUUUAUCGAUCACCUUACUAAUGAAAUGGACCCGUCCAAACGUAGUAGAUGCCAAGUCGGUCCAGAUGAAGAGAUAUUUCAAUUUGGAAUUUUCUAGUUACAUAGAUUGAAAAAAAGUACGUCUUUUUAAAUAUCAUGAUCAAAACUGGGUAUGCAUAACAAAUGUCAGAUGAAACCAUUAUCCUCGUCUUUUCAGUGAACAAGUCUACUACGUUUGUUGACACUCGACGGUCCACCGUGUUAGCAAUUUUAUUUCACAUGUUUUCGAAAUAUUGAAGAUCAUUUUUCGCAAUGUUUCCUGAAAAUUGAUAAAUGUCAAAGCAACGUAGAGCUGUUUGUUCUUGUUCGUAUAAUAAAAUUGAGAAUGGAAAUGGGGAAUGUGUCAAAGAGACAACAACCCGACCAUAGAAAAACAUACAACAGCAGAAGGUCACCAACAGGUCUUCAAUGCAGCGUAAAAUUCCCACACCCGGAGGCGUCCUUCAACUGGCCCUAAACAAUACAUAUACUAGUUCAGUGAUAACGAUUUAAUGUCAUGUUUGUCUGUGAUGACCCCCCCCCCCCCCCCUUUCGGUAUUGCAUGAGAAUUAUAGUUAUCUCAUACCCAUAUGCACUUGUUUCUAUCCAUAGGAAGGUCGACUAUCCAUAUAAAACUAUUUUGGAUAGAAACAAGUGCCUGUGCUCGUACCGCAUCAGAAGGACAUACAUGUAUAUCAACUGAGCAAUAAUGUUUGGAACUUAGUUUUAAAAAUGAUGACAAAGUACCAUUAUGAAAAUAUUUUUAUUAAGCUGAAAUAUAUA